CAGGCCUAACACAUGCAAGUCGAACGGUGGUAGCAAUACUACAGUGGCAAACGGGUGCGUAACGCGUAAGCAACCUGCCCCGAACUGGGGGAUAGCCUGGCGAAAGCCGGGGUAAGCCCGCAUAGUCUUGUUUUUUCACCUGGGAAGACAAGUAAAGAUUUAUCGGUUCGGGAGGGGCUUGCGUCUGAUUAGCUAGUUGGCAGGGUAACGGCCUACCAAGGCUUUGAUCAGUCGGGGUUCUGAGAGGAUUGGCCCCCACAUGGGUACUGAGAGACGGACCCAACUCCUACGGGAGGCAGCAGUAGGGAAUAUUGGGCAAUGGGCGAGAGCCUGACCCAGCCAUGCCGCGUGGAGGAUGACGGCGCUCAGCGUUGUAAACUCCUUUUAUCAAGGAAGAAUGGAUGGCCUGCGGGUCAUUGUGACGGUAUUUGAGGAAUCAGCACCUGUAUUAACUCAGUGCCAGCAGCCGCGGUAAU
This 476-nucleotide ribosomal RNA is filed under the name uncultured bacterium. RNAcentral describes it as "bacterial SSU rRNA". It matches the Rfam family "Bacterial small subunit ribosomal RNA", at positions 43 to 524 of the family's 1533-position model. The record is from RNAcentral.